GCAGCAGUGGGGAACAUUGGACAAUGGAGGCAACAUCUGAUCCAGCCAUGCCGCGUGCAGGAAGACUGCCCUAUGGGUUGUAAACUGCUUUUAUACAGGCAAGAGAUGUACCUACGAUGUAGGAUAUUUGCACGGUACUGUAAGAAAAGGAUCGGCUAACUCCGUGCCAGCAGCCGCGGUAAU
This 183-nucleotide ribosomal RNA is filed under the name uncultured bacterium. Its description in RNAcentral is "partial 16S ribosomal RNA". It matches the Rfam family "Bacterial small subunit ribosomal RNA", at positions 348 to 524 of the family's 1533-position model. The record is from RNAcentral.